This 263-nucleotide signal recognition particle RNA is filed under the name Bacillota bacterium. Its description in RNAcentral is "Firmicutes bacterium (anaerobic digester metagenome) signal recognition particle sRNA large type". It matches the Rfam family "Bacterial large signal recognition particle RNA". Rfam says of the family: The signal recognition particle (SRP) is a universally conserved ribonucleoprotein involved in the co-translational targeting of proteins to membranes. Archaeal SRP consists of a 7S RNA and homologues of the eukaryotic SRP19 and SRP54 proteins. Lineage: Bacteria; Bacillati; Bacillota. The record is from RNAcentral.
CCGUGCUAGACGGGGAGGUAGCGGUGCCCUGUACCUGCAACCCGCUAUAGCAGGGUCGAAUCCCGUCUUUGAGGCGGUUUUUUGUAGCACCGGCGCCGGUAAGUGGCGUUGAAGGCCGGGUCCUGUGCGACGGAGACCGGUGAACCCCGCCAGGUCCGGAAGGAAGCAACGGUAAGCCGGAGACUUCGGGUGCCGCAGGGCAGCCUGGCUGGAGCCAACUGCCGGGGUACGACUGGAAAGAGCCGUCGAUGGGCGGUGCACGG